This is a long non-coding RNA of Ictidomys tridecemlineatus (thirteen-lined ground squirrel), 597 nucleotides long. RefSeq lists it as uncharacterized. The record is from RefSeq and is a predicted model, not a curated record. Lineage: Eukaryota; Metazoa; Chordata; Mammalia; Rodentia; Sciuridae.
UCUCCACAUCACUUCCAUCAGGGAGAAUUCCAGUUUCUACAGUUGGAGGGACUCUCUCUUCAUUUCCUUCUGAGAGCUUUUGUGUGUAGUCCUCUUUUAUUUCCACAAUUUGCAUUCUGUUGUGUAUUUACCUGCUUACAGACUUAUUUGGUUACUAGUCAUUCACAAGGAAAAAAUCUGGAAUGCACACAGAACUUGCCUUGCGUUAUUCUCACACCUCCAAUCAAUCAGCAACUCUGUUGAUUUUGCCUGCUAGAUAUUUCUGGACUCCAUCUCUUCUCUGCGCCUCCUGCAGGCUGCCUAACAUUAUGAGAGACUGAGUCCUAAUAAAACCACGGUGAAGAAACAGGCAUUGGAACCAGGUUUUUCCAAUGUGGUUCAUACUGACUUCCCGAUGACCUGACAGGAUCACCUAGUUUGACAUUUGGUUCAUAGAAUGGAGGGCCUACAGAACGGGAGAAAACUUUGCCAGCUACUCUUCUGAUGGGAUUAAUAUUCAGAAUACAUAAAGAAGUAAAAAAAAAAUCAAGGAAAAAAUCAUGAAGUGGGCAGAAGAUCUAAACAGAAAUGGAUAUGCCUAACAAAUACAUGAAGCAG